Molecule: ribosomal RNA, 551 nt
Filed under: uncultured bacterium
Lineage: Bacteria
Description: partial 16S ribosomal RNA
Rfam family: Bacterial small subunit ribosomal RNA
Source: RNAcentral
UGGGGAAUAUUGGACAAUGGGCGCAAGCCUGAUCCAGCAAUGCCGCGUGUGUGAAGAAGGCCUUCGGGUUGUAAAGCACUUUUAUCAGGAGCGAAACGCUGUCGGCUAAUACCCGGCGGAACUGACGGUACCUGAGGAAUAAGCACCGGCUAACUUCGUGCCAGCAGCCGCGGUAAUACGAAGGGUGCAAGCGUUAAUCGGAAUUACUGGGCGUAAAGCGUGCGUAGGCGGUUUCUUAAGUCUGCUGUGAAAUCCCCGGGCUCAACCUGGGAAUGGCAGUGGAUACUGGGAGGCUAGAGUGUGUCAGAGGGUGGUGGAAUUCCCGGUGUAGCGGUGAAAUGCGUAGAGAUCGGGAGGAACAUCAGUGGCGAAGGCGGCCACCUGGGACAACACUGACGCUGAGGCACGAAAGCGUGGGGAGCAAACAGGAUUAGAUACCCUGGUAGUCCACGCCCUAAAGCGAUGCGAACUGGAUGUUGGUCUCAACUCGGAGAUCAGUGUCGAAGCUAACGCGUUAAGUUCGCCGCCCUGGGGAGUACGGUCGCAAGACU